This 574-nucleotide ribosomal RNA is filed under the name Rhodotorula mucilaginosa. RNAcentral describes it as "eukaryotic LSU rRNA". It matches the Rfam family "Eukaryotic large subunit ribosomal RNA", at positions 65 to 658 of the family's 3401-position model. The record is from RNAcentral. Lineage: Eukaryota; Fungi; Basidiomycota; Microbotryomycetes; Sporidiobolales; Sporidiobolaceae.
CCACUGCAUUCCCCUAGUAGCGGCGAGCGAGCGGAAGAGCUCAGAUUUAUAAUCUGGCACCUUCGGUGUCCGAGUUGUAAUCUCUAGAAAUGUUUUCCGCGUUGGACCGCACACAAGUCUGUUGGAAUACAGCGGCAUAGUGGUGAGACCCCCGUAUAUGGUGCGGACGCCCAGCGCUUUGUGAUACAUUUUCGAAGAGUCGAGUUGUUUGGGAAUGCAGCUCAAAUUGGGUGGUAAAUUCCAUCUAAAGCUAAAUAUUGGCGAGAGACCGAUAGCGAACAAGUACCGUGAGGGAAAGAUGAAAAGCACUUUGGAAAGAGAGUUAACAGUACGUGAAAUUGUUGGAAGGGAAACGCUUGAAGUCAGACUUGCUUGCCGAGCAAUCGGUUUGCAGGCCAGCAUCAGUUUUCCGGGAUGGAUAAUGGUAGAGAGAAGGUAGCAGUUUCGGCUGUGUUAUAGCUCUCUGCUGGAUACAUCUUGGGGGACUGAGGAACGCAGUGUGCCUUUUGGCGGGGGUUUCGACCUCUUCACACUUAGGAUGCUGGUGGAAUGGCUUUAAACGACCCGUCUUGAC